This 454-nucleotide ribosomal RNA is filed under the name uncultured bacterium. Its description in RNAcentral is "bacterial SSU rRNA". It matches the Rfam family "Bacterial small subunit ribosomal RNA", at positions 923 to 1379 of the family's 1533-position model. The record is from RNAcentral.
GCACAAGCGGUGGAGCAUGUGGUUUAAUUCGACGCAACGCGCAGAACCUUACCAGGGUUUGACAUCCUGAGACCGCCCCAUAAAGGGGGUUUUCCCGCAAGGGACUCAGAGACAGGUGCUGCAUGGCUGUCGUCAGCUCGUGUCGUGAGAUGUUGGGUUAAGUCCCGCAACGAGCGCAACCCUCGCCUUUAGUUGCCAUCAUUAAGUUGGGCACUCUAGAGGGACCGCCGGCGACAAGCCGGAGGAAGGUGGGGAUGACGUCAAGUCCUCAUGGCCCUUACACCCUGGGCUACACACGUGCUACAAUGGCGGUGACAGUGGGCAGCUACUUCGCGAGAAGCGGCUAAUCCCAAAAAACCGUCCCAGUUCAGAUUGUACUCUGCAACUCGAGUACAUGAAGGUGGAAUCGCUAGUAAUCGCAGAACAGCAGGCUGCGGUGAAUACGUUCCCGGGC